AAUGCAAAUAUAAACCAACAUGGAUAGACCAUUGGUAGUUACCGAACCUAAAUUCAAUGCAAUAACAUCCACAAGAAAACUCUGCAGUACUCACUCGUUAACCUAACACCAGCGCAUUACAGGAAAGAUUUAAAAAAAGAGAAGGAAUUCGGCAAAUGACGGCCCCGCCUGUUUACCAAAAACAUCGCCUCUUGACUUAUAAUAAGAGGUCCAGCCUGCCCAGUGAAUUUUAAACGGCCGCGGUAUCCUAACCGCGCGAAGGUAGCAUAAUCACUUGUUCUUUAAAUGGGGACUUGUAUCAACGGCAUCACGAGGGUUUUACUGUCUCCUCUUUUUGAUCAGUGAAAUUGAUCUUCCCGUGAAGAAGCGGGAAUAUUUUUAUAAGACGAGAAGACCCCAUGGAGCUUUAAACCAAAUAACAACUUAACCACUUAUCCCAUAAUAAAUUUAAGCCCUGUUAUAAGGUUUUUGGUUGGGGUGACCGCGGAGUAAAGCACAUCCUCCACGACGGAAAGAACAGAAUCUUU
This 527-nucleotide ribosomal RNA is filed under the name Polypedates leucomystax (Java whipping frog). RNAcentral's name for it is "partial large subunit ribosomal RNA". It matches the Rfam family "Archaeal large subunit ribosomal RNA", at positions 1645 to 2394 of the family's 2987-position model. Lineage: Eukaryota; Metazoa; Chordata; Amphibia; Anura; Rhacophoridae. The record is from RNAcentral.